RNAcentral lists this ribosomal RNA (388 nucleotides) under uncultured bacterium. RNAcentral describes it as "bacterial SSU rRNA". It matches the Rfam family "Bacterial small subunit ribosomal RNA", at positions 370 to 772 of the family's 1533-position model. The record is from RNAcentral.
AAUGGAGGAAACUCUGAUGCAGCGACGCCGCGUGAGUGAUGAAGGACUUCGGUUCGUAAAGCUCUGUUGCAGGGGAAAAAGAAAGUGAUGGUACUCUGCGAGAAAGGGUCGGCUAACUUCGUGCCAGCAGCCGCGGUAAGACGAGGGACCCUAGCGUUGUUCGGAAUCAUUGGGCGUAAAGCGGGUGUAGGUGGCUUUGUAAGUCAGGUGUGAAAGCCCGGGGCUCAACCCCGGAAGUGCAUUUGAUACUGCGAAGCUUGAGUGCUGGAGAGGUUACUAGAAUUCCUGGUGUAGUGGUGAAAUACGUAGAUAUCAGGAGGAAUACCGGAGGCGAAGGCGGGUAACUGGCCAGACACUGACACUCAGACCCGAAAGCGUGGGGAUCAAA